This is a long non-coding RNA of Micropterus dolomieu (smallmouth bass), 433 nucleotides long. RefSeq lists it as uncharacterized. The transcript is spliced from 4 exons. The record is from RefSeq and is a predicted model, not a curated record. NCBI's taxonomy places the organism in Eukaryota, Metazoa, Chordata, Actinopteri, Centrarchiformes, Centrarchidae.
UGAAGACUCACCAAAAGCAUCAGGACAGAACUUCACCAUCACUGACAUCAGAGCUGAACACAGUGGGAAUUAUUACUGUGAAGCCCAGAACAGAAGAGGACGUCAUAACUCCACCUUACAUCUGAUUGUUGUGGCAGGAGCAGGGAAAUUAACAGUUGCUACAACAAUCACUGUUGUUCUCCUGGUUAUCAUUUCCCUCUGUCUCUUCCUGUGGAUCAGGAAAAAGAGGGCUUCCAAGGAAUCGUCUGAGCCUGAAGAGAGACCAGACAACAGGGAACAGUUUCUACCUGAACAGCCAGAGGUGCAGGAUAACCUUCAGUAUGCCAGCAUUCACUUCACCAACAACCAGGCAGAUCCUCUCUACUCCAACAUCAGACCAGCUCGCUCCCUCAGACACACGGAGCAGCAAGAUUUCAUGGAGUACGCUGUUGUC